AACGCAUAUUGCGCCCGAGACCUCGGUCAAGGGCAUGUCUGCCUCAGCGUCGGGUUUCCCUCACAAAACAUUCACUUGUUUGUUUUGUGGACUUGACGGCCCGCCCGGAUGAUUUCACCAUCAACCGGUGGCCCGUUGAAAAGCAGUAGCUCGUGCUCCAUGCGAUUAUGCAACAAAGCCAAAUGGUGCGCAGCUGGGCAAGCAAUUUCGUAUUGUAUUUGCUCGUGAGUCUGCCUGCUUUUUUUGGUGGCAUAUUCUGUAUGAAUAAGCGAGAAACUCAGGAAACGUUACAAUUCAAUCCUCGACCUGAGCUCAGGCAAGAUUACCCGCUGAACUUAA
Molecule: unclassified non-coding RNA, 339 nt
Filed under: Viridiplantae environmental sample
Lineage: Eukaryota; Viridiplantae
Description: sequence contains 5.8S rRNA gene, ITS2, 28S rRNA gene
Source: RNAcentral